GGCUCCGUGGCCUAAUGGAUAAGGCGUCUGACUUCUAAUCAGAAGAUUGCGGGUUCGAGUCCCGCCGGAGUCG
RNAcentral lists this transfer RNA (73 nucleotides) under Enterobius vermicularis (human pinworm). It matches the Rfam family "tRNA". Rfam says of the family: Transfer RNA (tRNA) molecules are approximately 80 nucleotides in length. Their secondary structure includes four short double-helical elements and three loops (D, anti-codon, and T loops). The record is from Rfam by way of RNAcentral. Lineage: Eukaryota; Metazoa; Nematoda; Chromadorea; Rhabditida; Oxyuridae.